Molecule: non-coding RNA, 1173 nt
Organism: Kogia breviceps (pygmy sperm whale)
Lineage: Eukaryota; Metazoa; Chordata; Mammalia; Artiodactyla; Physeteridae
Source: RefSeq, a predicted model, not a curated record
GAACUCCAUGUGCGUAAACACUACCCUCCACUCCACCCUCGUUUCCCACUUUGCAGCUAAGCCGAAAGAAGGCACAAAAAGCCAGAAGAAAGAUGAAUGGGUGACAGCUGGCAAGAAGGGACAUGCUGGUCAAAUUCCACAAGAGAAAUUGGCUGUGAAUCAGAGGUGGCAAAGCCCACUUCCAAGACUCCAAAGAGCAGCUUUUAUUCUUGCAAGAAAAGUUAGCCAGGAGAGGGACAAGUGAGAAGUCUCCUGGAAGAAAGAGGGGGUCGUUAUUCCCAGCAGAGCGUGAAAUUGGUUCUUGGGAGGCCUUCCCUAUAGUAAGUGACUAUUUUGCUGGGCAGGAUUGGAUUAGCUCAGGGGUAUUUAGCAAUCUAUAUAUCUCGCUGGGUCCUGGCACUUUACUGAGGAGUAGGAAGAUUAAUUACAGGCACCUGUCUGCUCACCCCACGUAAUGUAACGUAACCAACACUGGAAGGUUCCUCUCAUUCCAGAAACUGCUCAGUCUCCCGCCUCCGUGAAGUCUGCCCAUCUGUCUGGAAAAAGGCAGUUCAGGCCAUGUUUUUCCCAAGCGAUAGAAAAAGCCAGUCUGAAAGCAAGAAGUUGGUCCUACGAAGCUGGAAGUUUCCUUGAGAGAUAUUUCAAUAACCUGUGUCUUCGAAAGUCUGGGAAUUUUUCUUGGAGUAUACCUGCACCAGUAUAUGCCCACCUUGAUUUAAUCGUAUGGAGGUCUACAAGUCUUGUUCAUAAAGUGUGUCAAGCUCGAGGAAGAGAAGGAUAUACUGUGAUGUCCCCACUUGUGUUCCUGACAUUGGAUAGAAUCUUGAGAAGUUGAUUUUAGAUCUUUAUUCUUUUCCAAUAUAACCAUUUAAUGUUGUUCAUUUCCCUCUAAGCACUGCUUUAGCUUUAUCCUGCAAAUUUUUACCUUGUACCAUAUAUCCAUAAUGAUGUUUUUUGUUUACUUGCUCUAUAAUGAAUGAAGAAUUUUGAAAUAUCCUACCAUAGUUCCGGACUUUGUCUUUUUCUUUUCAGAGUUUUUGUGUCAUGUAGUUUGAAGUCCUGUUAUUAGGUGCAUACAUAUUUAGGAUUUGAAAUGUCUUCUUGAUGAGUUGAUCCUUUAUCAUUAUGAGAUAUUCCUCUCUAUCCCUGUUAAUAGUCCUUUUUAGUAUUAAU